AAUGCCUAGGAAUCUGCCUGGUAGUGGGGGACAACGUUUCGAAAGGAACGCUAAUACCGCAUACGUCCUACGGGAGAAAGCAGGGGACCUUCGGGCCUUGCGCUAUCAGAUGAGCCUAGGUCGGAUUAGCUAGUUGGUGGGGUAAAGGCCUACCAAGGCGACGAUCCGUAACUGGUCUGAGAGGAUGAUCAGUCACACUGGAACUGAGACACGGUCCAGACUCCUACGGGAGGCAGCAGUGGGGAAUAUUGGACAAUGGGCGAAAG
This 266-nucleotide ribosomal RNA is filed under the name Pseudomonas sp. Li4-2. RNAcentral's name for it is "partial 16S ribosomal RNA". It matches the Rfam family "Bacterial small subunit ribosomal RNA", at positions 112 to 381 of the family's 1533-position model. Lineage: Bacteria; Pseudomonadati; Pseudomonadota; Gammaproteobacteria; Pseudomonadales; Pseudomonadaceae. The record is from RNAcentral.